GGCUGUACCCGCGGCGUAUAGAAUUUCCCAGGCUAGGGGUUGAAUUGGAGCUACAGCUGCUGGCCUACACCACAGCCACAGCAACUUGGGAUCCAAGCUGUGUCUACCACCUAUAUACCACAGCUCAUGGCAAUGCUGCAUCCUUAAUCUACUGGUAGAGGCCAGGGACUGAACCCACAUCCUCAUGGAUCCUAGUUGCGUUCGUUAACUACUGAGCUAUGAAGGGAACUCCUUGCUCAAUGCAUUUUAAAGAAGUUUUCUUUUUAAUAGUUUUUCAAAAACCUUUCACACCUUUAGUCCAAUGGGGAUUUACUUUUGUAUGUGGUAUAUGGUAGAGGCACAUUUUUAUCUUUUCUUCAUGAAACAAACCAUUUUUCCAUUAUCUAUUAAAUAAUCCUUUCCCCCUAUAAUUUGUUAUACCACCUCCAUGCAACUCGAUCCUCAUGCACAUUCCUGCAUGUGCAUGUAUAUUGACUAUUCUGUUCCCUUGGUCUUUUGUCUGUCCCCUACCCAGAAUGUACUAUUUUAAAGUUUUGUUGGUGUGAUACCACAUUAAUAUUUGAUAGGUGAAUCUCUCCUCUUUCUCAAAUUAUCUUUGCUAGUUUUCGGAGGUUUAUUUAUAUAUGUUUUAACAUUCAUUUGUCAGAUUCCUGUAACAAAUCUUGCUAGGGUUUUUAUUGGAAUUUCACUAAAUUUAUAGAUAAUUGCGGGGAACUGAACAAUUUUACAAUGAUAAAUUGUCCCAACCAAUAACAUGAUAUAAAUAUCCAUUUAUCCAAGAUUUCUCCUCUUUCAUUUCUAAUUCUUUUUACUUUAUUUGAAUAUUUUAAACAAUAUAUGUACAUAGUAAAUCCAAGCAGUAAAAAGGCAUAUAGAGUGAACAUAAGUAUAGUAUGACCCCUGACCCCUGCCUCCCAUCUCCUCUUUCCAGAAAAAAGACUUUUUUUUGUGUGUGUGUGUGCUAUGGUAUGAAGCAGCUUGAUGUGUUAUCUCGGUUCCCAGAUCAGGAAUUGAACCUGGGCUACAGUGGUGAAAGCACCUAACCCCUUGACCACCAGGGAACUCCCAAAGCCAAUUUCUUAUUAGCAUAUCUGUAAUGGAAUGUUUAAGUGGGACUCUUCCUGUCCAAAUCUUAGCUGAGGGAAUUCUAUGUUUUAUUCUAAACAGACCACCAGGCAAAAAUCAGCAUGGAGACAAAUCUUGACCUCUUAUCCACACUAAGGAUAAAAAAGGUUGAGAGAGAUUUGCGAAGAUUGUUUUAGAGUUAGCUGUGCUGUGCAGUCAUCCAUAAAGGGUGGACAAUUCUUAAGGUCAAGAGAGAGUGAUUUCAGUGGGAACUGUCAAGAAAGCCUAGUAUGUUGGCCUAUAAUCAAGGAGACACAGUAUAUUAACUGACUCACCUAGAAAAUCUGAAAAAUGAAGAGAUGGCUGCCUCUUGAGAAGGCAGAAACGAAGAGAGCGUUGGUGACAUUUUGUGGUCAGCCUGCAGUUCUUGAGUUUGGCCUAAAAGUUGCUUGAAUAUUUCCUGCAAAUCAGAUGAGGGCCACAGAGCCUAUAGUUAUUUAAAAUUCUGACCUAGAGGAGCAAUGGAACUGCAGAAAGAAAGAAGUCCCCAUGGAAUGGACCAUGGAAAAUCCUAUUUGCAGUGAAAAUGUCAGCCAGAGGGAGAUACAUUGUCUGAAUCAUAAUACGGUCAUUCAUUCCUAGUAGGGGUCUCUGAAGGACAAAAGUGCCUACAAUAUAGAACCAAGCAGUUGUAAACUCUUGCCAGGCCCAGGGAGUGAGAAGUCAUCUGAUUUAGUUAUCAGAUUUAAAUUUCUUUCUUUCUUUUUUUUUCACUGGCCACACCCAUGGCAUAUGGAAGUUCCUGGGAUUGAAUCUGAGCUACAGCUUCCACCUAUGCUGUAGCUUCAGUCACACCAGAUUCUUUAACCCACUCUGCCAGACUGGAGAAUCAAACCCCCCUCCUCAGUGUCCCGAGCCACUGCAGUCAGAUUUUUAACCUACUGUGCCACAGCGGGAACUCCAGAUUUAAAUUUAUUUUAAUCAAACAUAUGAACAUGGUUCUGUUCGAAAUUAAAUGUUCUACAAUAGUCAUAUUGAGGUCAUUUUAUGGUGGUGUGGAAUUUGGGAACUAAAGCCCACCAGGUCUAACCAGGGUUCUUUCUUCCAUGUUUUAAGUAAAAAAAUUCUGAGGCUUUAGCUGAGAAUCUCAAUUUACUACUGACCGGGUAUCAACUGUCUUUUGCAGGCCUUCUCCAUGUGGAGUCAGAGGAGACCCUCCUACACCAGAGGAAAGAUCUCAGGCUUUUUAAGUUAUUUUCCAUCUUGCCACCUACAAAUCUGAAAUCUAAAGUAAUUGGAUCUCCUUUUAAUCAACAACAAAGGAUGCCUGUACUACAGCUGUUUUUCAUGCAUAUCAUUUUUGAAAAAUUUUUAUUGUUGUGGUGGUGAUGGUAUUUUUUUAAGAGGGAAAAUUAUAAAAAUGACACCGAUUAAGGGUAGAAAAUUUCAAAAUAGGCAGCACUAAAAAGAAGUACAUUGAAUUUCAACAUUUACUAUCUACAGCCCAAAAUUAAAUACUUUUUUGUUGUUGUUGUUGUAUCUGUGGCAUGCAGAAGUUCCCAAGCCAGGGAUGGAACCCACGCCACAGCUUUAAUCAGAGCCACAGCAGUAAUAACACCAUAUCCUUAACCCAUUGAGCCACAAGGGAACUCCCAAAGUUAAGUACUUUUAAUGCUGUUUUGUAUGUUCUUCCAACCUCUUUUCAUCUGUGUACCUUUUUUCCCCCAUAAUUGAAGUGAUAAUGUAUGUACUCAUUUGUAUUAUUUAUAAUGGCUAGGUAAUAGUCUAUUACAUAAAAAUACUACACAUUAAUUAUAACUUUUGGUCAUUCAGGUUGUUUUUAGUUUUUAUUAUCUCACAAAGUUGAGGUGACCAUGUAUGUGCUCAAAUGUUUUUAUGUAUUUUGGAUUAUGCCCUUAGUCAAGUUCCCUUAAAGCAGAAUUAUGGAGGAAAAAGUCCUUGUUGCAUAUUGAUAUUUAGGCAGAUAUGCUCUUUUCCUUCCCUCUUCCCUUCUUCCUGUUUAUCACUCAGCAAUAUCCACAAUAGUAGUUGCUUUUCUUCUGUGCUUUAUUUUAUACCCUUCAGGAUCUUGGAUUUUUCUCUAGUUUGUCUUUCAGUUGCAAGGUGCUUUGCACAAAACUGACAGCCAACACAAUGGGUCCCCUGUGUAUUUCAACAUUAGUCCCAACUAGAGAAAGAAAGAAAAGCUCAAGGUUCACAUUUUAUCUGUCUUGCUUCCUAAACACUUCUCUUUCCAACUACCUUUAACAACAGAGAUACAAAUCUUAUUUCAUCUUAUUUAACCCUCAUAACAAUUACAUUAAAUCUGUCUUAUCUUUGUUUUAUAGCUGCAGAAAUUGAGGCACAGAGUUUAAAUAACUUGUCAAAGGUCAUAUAUUAAAUAGUAGAUUCAAGAUUUCAAUCCAGGUUUAUCUAACUUCAAAAUUCUUUCUAUGAUACCACUGUUCCUUCAUAGUUAAAAGAAAACUGAGCAAAUGUCCAGUGGAUUAAAUUCUCAAAUAAUUAUAUAGGGCAGGAAAACUUUUAGAUUCUGUGUCUAGGGCCUGUAAUUAAACACAUAGGUGGGAAGACAUACAAAUUUUGUUUGAUGUUAAUUUUUUUUUAAUUUUAUUACCACACCUAUGGCAUAUUGAAGUUCUUGGGCGAGGGACUGAAUCCAAGCCACAGCUGCAAUUUACGUGGCAGAUGCAGCAAUGCCAGAUUGUUUAACCCACUGCUCCUGGCUGGGGAUCACACCCACACCUUCAUAGCAACCCAAACUGCUUCAGUCAGACUCUUAACCCCCGGGGCCUCAGCAGGAAUUCCUUGAUGUUAAUAUUUAACUUUUUCACGUGCAUGGAGGCCUUCAUAUAUAAUGAGUAUCCAAAGAAGCAGUUAAAUGUAGGGGGUUAUAUACCAUCUUAACAAAGGGUGAUAAGUUAUGGAGAAAUAAUUAGACAAAGUAAAAGGGGCUCGUGUGGGUGGUUAACUAUGGGAAAGUAAAUAUAUGGGGCACAGUAAUGGAAGACAGGGUUAUUUAGUGAGGCUUCAUUUAUGAAGACUCAUCUUGGUACCAUCUCCAUCUCCUGUGAUAAACAUUGUUUUUCCCUUCCUGGUACAAGAGAGGGUGACACCUGCACAAAGGGAAGGUUGUGUUCUGCUUUCAGGCAGGAGUGGGGAGAGCAGAGAGUUUUUCUUGCACCUGCUGUUUCUCAGUUGCUUUUAGCUCAAAACAAUCGUUACACCAAAGUGGCAUAUUUUUGGGUGGCAUAUUCUGAUCCUCUUCACUUUACCUCUGCCACUUGAUGUGAUUGGCUAAAUAACUAAAAUCUAGCUUUCCUUAAUUCAUUGUUUCCCUCUAUUAUAUUUUACUCAUGUUCAGGCCACUUAUUCUUUCAGUUUUUCCUUUAGCCUUGGCUCCACACUGUACAAUUGAAAUUUUCAUUAGGUAGCACAAAAUGAUGUUCUAAAAAGAUUGCUGUUAAUUAAUAAAAGCAUUGCUGAUUUUGGUGCUGUUUUUAAAUUAAGAAAAUUGAACAAAAUCGCAUUUGUAUUCUGUUUUAACAAUAAAUGUAGUCUGAAUCAAAAGAACUUAUGAAUAUUUCCAAAACUGAUAAUAUAUUCUUACCUUUUUUCUCUUCCUCAGUAGCAUUGAAUGCACAUGUAUUAUAAAUUUCUCAGGCUAAUGUCACCCUGAUUUACUGAGAUUGUUGCUCUUGGAAAUCAACAAAGUAAUCAGAAUUUCCUAAGACCAUGAAAACUAAUCAUGAUCACCAAUGAGACAACAGAACACUGCACGGUCAUGUAAACUCGUGGAGAAAUAUAUACCAUUCAAAGUAGAGAAUUAAAAGAAAGGCAACACUAGAGUUCCUGAUAUGGCACAUCAGGAUUGGCCAGCAUCUUGGGGGAGCUGUGAUGCAGGUUCAAUCCCAGCACAGUGGCUUAAGGAUCUGGUGUUGCAGCAGGUGUGGCUUAGGUCACGACUGUGGGUGGGAUCUGAUCCCUGGCCUGGGAACUCCACAUGCUGUGGGGCAGCCAAGAAAGGAAAAAAAAAAA
This 5121-nucleotide long non-coding RNA is filed under the name Sus scrofa (pig). Its description in RNAcentral is "lncRNA (ENSSSCG00000048143.2)". The record is from RNAcentral. Lineage: Eukaryota; Metazoa; Chordata; Mammalia; Artiodactyla; Suidae.